ACCUGGGUUUGACAUGUAAGUGGUAGUGAAGCGAAAGCGGAGAGACCCUUCGGGGAGCUUACACAGAUGCUGCAUGGCUGUCGUCAGAUCGUGCCGUGAGAUGUCGGGUUAAGUCCCGUAACGAGCGCAACCCUUGCCGUUAGUUACAAGUGUCUAAGGGGACUGCCGGCGGUAAGCCGGAGGAAGAUGGGGAUGACGUCAAGUCAGCAUGGCCCUUAUAUCCAGGGCUACACACACGCUACAAUGGUCAGUACAAAGGGCAGCGAGGCCGCGAGGUGAAGCGAAUCCCACCUAAGCUGAUCUAAGUUCGGAUUGCAGGCUGCAACUCGCCUGCAUGAAGCUGGAGUUGCUAGUAACCGCGCGUCAGCCAUAGUGCGGUGAAUACGUUCCCGGGGCUUGUACACACCGCCCGUCACGUCAUGGGAGUCGGUAACGCCUGAAGCUGGUAGUCUGGCCCACAUCGGGGGGACGCCAUCUAAGGCGGGGCUGGCAACUGGGACG
RNAcentral lists this ribosomal RNA (501 nucleotides) under uncultured organism. RNAcentral's name for it is "bacterial SSU rRNA". It matches the Rfam family "Bacterial small subunit ribosomal RNA", at positions 973 to 1482 of the family's 1533-position model. The record is from RNAcentral.